Molecule: ribosomal RNA, 429 nt
Filed under: Acidobacteriota bacterium
Lineage: Bacteria; Pseudomonadati; Acidobacteriota
Description: Acidobacteria bacterium partial 16S ribosomal RNA
Rfam family: Bacterial small subunit ribosomal RNA
Source: RNAcentral
UGGGGAAUUUUGGACAAUGGGGGAAACCCUGAUACAGCCAUCCCGCGUGUGCGAUGAAGGCCUUCGGGUUGUAAAGCACUUUUGGCAGGAAAGAAACGUCAUGGGUUAAUACCCCGUGAAACUGACGGUACCUGCAGAAUAAGCACCGGCUAACUACGUGCCAGCAGCCGCGGUAAUACGUAGGGUGCAAGCGUUAAUCGGAAUUACUGGGCGUAAAGCGUGCGCAGGCGGUUCGGAAAGAAAGAUGUGAAAUCCCAGAGCUCAACUUUGGAACUGCAUUUUUAACUGCCGGGCUAGAGUGUGUCAGAGGGAGGUGGAAUUCCGCGUGUAGCAGUGAAAUGCGUAGAUAUGCGGAGGAACACCGAUGGCGAAGGCAGCCUCCUGGGAUAACACUGACGCUCAUGCACGAAAGCGUGGGGAGCAAACAGG